AUUGAACGCUGGCGGAAUGCUUUACACAUGCAAGUCGAACGGCAGCACGGACUUCGGUCUGGUGGCGAGUGGCGAACGGGUGAGUAAUGUAUCGGAACGUGCCCAGUCGUGGGGAUAACGUAGUGAAAAUUACGCUAAUACCGCAUACGAUCUAUGGAUGAAAGCGGGGGAUCGCAAGACCUCGCGCGAUUGGAGCGGCCGAUAUCAGAUUAGGUAGUUGGUGGGGUAAAGGCCCACCAAGCCAACGAUCUGUAGCUGGUCUGAGAGGACGACCAGCCACACUGGAACUGAGACACGGUCCAGACUCCUACGGGAUGCAGCAGUGGGGAAUUUUGGACAAUGGGCGAAAGCCUGAUCCAGCCAUUCCGCGUGCAGGAUGAAGGCCCUCGGGUUGUAAACUGCUUUUGUGCAGAACGAAAAGGUUUCUACUAAUACUAGGAGCUCAUGACGGUACUGUAAGAAUAAGCACCGGCUAACUACGUGCCAGCCGCCGCAGUAA
Molecule: ribosomal RNA, 499 nt
Filed under: uncultured bacterium
Lineage: Bacteria
Description: partial 16S ribosomal RNA
Rfam family: Bacterial small subunit ribosomal RNA
Source: RNAcentral